GAACGUCGUGAGACAGUUCGGUCUCUAUCUACAGUGGGCGCAAGAAAUUUGAGUGGAUCUGAUCCUAGUACGAGAGGACCGGAUUGGACCGACCGCUGGUGCACCAGUUGUCCCGCCAGGGGCACCGCUGGGUAGCUACGUCGGGAAGGGAUAAGCGCUGAAAGCAUAUAAGCGCGAAACCCACCACAAGAUGAGAUUUCUUUAAAGGGCCGUGGGAGACUACCACGUUGAUAGGCCGCAGGUG
RNAcentral lists this ribosomal RNA (244 nucleotides) under Percolomonas cosmopolitus. RNAcentral describes it as "partial Bacterial large subunit ribosomal RNA". It matches the Rfam family "Bacterial large subunit ribosomal RNA", at positions 2614 to 2869 of the family's 2925-position model. Lineage: Eukaryota; Heterolobosea; Eutetramitea; Percolomonadida; Percolomonadidae. The record is from RNAcentral.